GAAUUGUGGCUCAGUGGUGGAGUGCUUGUCUAGCAUGUGUGAGGCCUGGGUUCGAUCCUCAGCAACA
This 67-nucleotide transfer RNA is filed under the name Marmota monax (woodchuck). RNAcentral describes it as "tRNA.Ala". The record is from RNAcentral. Lineage: Eukaryota; Metazoa; Chordata; Mammalia; Rodentia; Sciuridae.